Molecule: ribosomal RNA, 301 nt
Filed under: uncultured bacterium
Lineage: Bacteria
Description: partial 16S ribosomal RNA
Rfam family: Bacterial small subunit ribosomal RNA
Source: RNAcentral
CAGUCGCCGCGGUAAUACGAGGGGGGCAAGCGUUGUUCGGAAUUAUUGGGCGUAAAGGGUGCGUAGGCGGUUUGGCAAGUUUGGUGUGAAAUCUUCGGGCUCAACUCGAAGUCUGCAUCGAAAACUGCCGGGCUUGAGUAUGGGAGAGGUGAGUGGAAUUUCCGGUGUAGCGGUGAAAUGCGUAGAUAUUCGGAAGAACACCAGUGGCGAAGGCGGCUCACUGGCUCAUACUGGACGCUGAGGUGCGAAAGCGUGGGGAACAAACAGGAUUAGAUACCCGCGUAGUCCCUGUCUCUUAUAC